CUCCUCUUUGAACCUCAAAGGUAAAAAUAGUUAGAGAUCUCUGACUUGAUUCAAGUGUCUUUCAGAUGGGAAAAGCUUUCAAUUGCUUCCAGCCUGGGGCCAGAGCAGUACCAGUGACCAUGAAAUGGAAGGCUCUGCAUCCUGUAUUAACCAGUCACAGCAGUCUUGUUCUCUCUUCUUUGCCUCGCCUUGCCUUUGCUUUUUUCAUCCUCUAAUGAAGCACAAGUAUCCGGAAGGAAUGCAUGCUAGGGGUGACAGGGAAAUGUCCUUCUGAUCUCUCCUCUUGAAGGAAGAUUUGGAACAUUUUAAUAAAGUGGAUUAAGAACUUGGACACAAAAAAUAACCUGUUUCCCCAUGAUGGGUGCUUUAAUCUUCUCCCUGAGCUGCUGACAAAAGCUUUCCUUAAAGAAGCCUCCUGAGCACAAAAGGGAGAAUAAAAGAAUGGGAGAAUAGACAAAGAGCUGCAAGAUGUUUAAAGGCACCCCCAAAAAAUGAAGCUGCUUGGGUGCUAAUUGUAUUCACUAUUCCCAGAGCCUGUUUUCCUCUUACACUUCCGAUUUUGGAUCAAUGCUAGAGACUGCAAAACUAACCCAAGGAAGGAAAAAGCCUUUGAUUAGACAAUCUGAGUGAUAAAGAAACGUAUUGAACAGAAAGCACUGUCAAUGAGCUACUCAAUGCAACAAUUAGAAGGUGAAACUUUUUCUUUCCCUUUCUAAGCAAGACACACCGAUGCUCUGCUGAAAGGAGGUGGGUGGGAGGAAUUUUUCUUGUUUUGGUGCCCAAUCCAAUUGUCUCCUGGACCUUUUUCAUUCACAUCACCCAAUGCAGACUAUCUGACAUUUGAAGGGACACUCCUGGUGUUUCCAGUAACAAGCUUUCUGUGACAAUAAAUGAAUAAAGAGGUGAAGAAAAAUGUUAUCUGUGCAGCUGUCCCUGGAAUGUUUCUGUUUGAAGAGUCUUUCCAACACUGAUGGUCAUACAGCUGAAGUUUUGCUCUGAUGGGGAAUCCCACUGUUCCAUGAGCAUGACGUGAGAAUAAAACCUGAGUUGGUUGGUUCAAAGUGCCAAUAUGCCUGGACUGUACCUACUCCAAUCCAGGACAGACCCUGAUCUGCUUUUGCUGUGGUUCUGCAGAGGCAAAAGAUACCACCCUAGGCUCUCUUGAAACAUAGGUUGGGAAAACGAGACACCCAAGGCAACCUGGCCUCAGUGACAGUGCCUCUGGACAUCAAGGGGGAGCUCAGGAACAAAUUUCUGCAAGGAACUUUCUACAACUU
Long non-coding RNA from Lagopus leucura (white-tailed ptarmigan), 1277 nucleotides. RefSeq lists it as uncharacterized. The record is from RefSeq and is a predicted model, not a curated record. The transcript has 3 exons. NCBI's taxonomy places the organism in Eukaryota, Metazoa, Chordata, Aves, Galliformes, Phasianidae.